RNAcentral lists this long non-coding RNA (563 nucleotides) under Homo sapiens (human). RNAcentral's name for it is "non-protein coding lnc-ETNK1-3:15". The record is from RNAcentral. Lineage: Eukaryota; Metazoa; Chordata; Mammalia; Primates; Hominidae.
ACGCUUCCCCACUGAGGGAAGACCAUGUGACUAUACAACAGGAAGGUAGUUGUUUACAAGCCAGGAAGAGAGCCCUCACCAGAAACCAAAUUGGCUGGCGCCUUGAUCAUGGACUCCUGGGCUCCGGAACUGUAAGAAAAUUUGUGUUGUGGAAGCCACCCAGCCCAUGGUAUUUCGUUAUGGCAGCCUGAGCAGAGGUGGUAGCUAUGUGGACAGUUUUUGGACUUCUCUAUUGUUGCCCUUCAUCACUCAGCAGUGAAGAAUGAAAAUCAACAGAGCUUUCCCCAGCCUGCUGCUUAAGCAGCUGCUAGCAGGCUGAGGCUGCCCAGCCUCAUUAACCCAUUAGAUGCUGCGUUCGCCCGGGAGUCAUUCUUAAUGAGGCUGCUGCAGAGACGGCGUUUCACCAUGUUGCCCAGACUGGUCUCGAACUCCUGGCUUCAAGUGAUCCUCCUGCCUCAACCUCCCAAAGUGCUGGUAUUACAGAUGAGAAAACAGAAGCAAAGGCAGAAAGAUGCUACAUUGCCAGCUUUGAAGAUGGAGGGAAGAGGUCACAAACCAAGGAA